This 64-nucleotide transfer RNA is filed under the name Protohermes concolorus. RNAcentral's name for it is "tRNA-Leu". The record is from RNAcentral. Lineage: Eukaryota; Metazoa; Arthropoda; Insecta; Megaloptera; Corydalidae.
UAUUACUUUGGCAGAUUAGUGCCAUGAAUUUAGAAUUCAUAAAUGUAUAUUAUACAAGUAAUAU